This 2028-nucleotide ribosomal RNA is filed under the name Triticum aestivum (bread wheat). Its description in RNAcentral is "partial small subunit ribosomal RNA". The record is from RNAcentral. Lineage: Eukaryota; Viridiplantae; Streptophyta; Magnoliopsida; Poales; Poaceae.
AUGGAGGGCGGCGCGUCUCCCGUGGCUGGGACUGCGGCAGCAGCCGCACCCGCAACCGCUGCGGCUUUCCCGGCGACGUCCCUGUACGUGGGGGAUCUGGACGUGAGUGUGCAGGACGCGCAGCUCUUUGACGUCUUCAGCCAGGUCGGCUCGGUGGUGUCUGUGCGCGUGUGCCGGGACGUCAACACCAGGAUGUCCCUAGGUUACGCGUACGUCAACUUCAGCAGCCCUGCCGAUGCUGCAAGGGCAUUGGAAAUGCUGAACUUUACUCCUGUUAAUGGGAAGCCUAUAAGGAUAAUGUAUUCUAACCGUGACCCAAGCUCACGUAAAAGUGGUGCUGCAAAUAUAUUUAUCAAGAAUCUUGACAAGUCAAUAGAUAACAAAGCGCUCUAUGACACAUUUUCUGCCUUUGGAAACAUUCUUUCAUGCAAAGUUGCUACAGAAAUGUCUGGAGAAUCCAAGGGUUAUGGUUUUGUUCAGUAUGAGCAGGACGAAUCAGCACAGAAUGCUAUCAAUGAACUCAAUGGGAUGCUUUUGAAUGACAAAAAGGUUUAUGUUGGGCCUUUUGUUCGUAAACAGGAAAGGGAAAAUGUUUUUGGCAGUCCCAAGUUCAAUAAUGUCUAUGUAAAGAAUCUAUCAGAAUCUACCACUGAAGAUAAUCUGAGAGAAUUGUUUGGUAAUUUUGGACCUAUAACUAGUGUUAUUGUAGUGCGAGGCGAUGAUGGUAAAUCCAGAUGCUUUGGAUUCGUGAACUUUGAAAAUCCGGAUGAUGCUGCAUGUGCUGUUGAGGAUUUGAAUGGCAAGAAAUUUGAUGAUAAGGAAUUGUAUGUUGGUAGAGCCCAAAAGAAGUCUGAAAGGGAGAUGCAAUUGAAGGAAAAUUUUGAGAAAAGCAAUAAAGAGACAGCUGACAGGAACCAAGGCACUAACUUGUAUUUGAAAAACUUGGAUGGUAGUGUUGAUGACGAUGAGAAGUUAAAAGAACUUUUUGCUGAAUUUGGCACUAUAACUUCUUGCAAGGUUAUGCGGGAUUCAAAUGGGGUCAACAAAGGAUCUGGUUUUGUUGCAUUUAAAUCUUCUGAAGAUGCUUCACGAGCUCUUGUGGCAAUGAAUGGUAAAAUGGUUGGCGGUAAGCCUCUUUACGUAGCACUUGCGCAACGCAAGGAAGAAAGAAGAGCCAGGCUGCAGGCACAGUUUUCGCAAAUGCGUCCUGUGAUGCCACCGCCAGUUGCUCCGCGCAUGCCCAUGUACCCCCCUGGUGUUCCUGGAAUGGGCCAACAACUAUUCUAUGGCCAACCACCUCCAGCUUUUGUUAACCCACAGCCUGGAUUUGGUUUCCAGCAACAUAUGAUUCCUGGAAUGAGACCUGGUGUUGCUCCAAUGCCAAAUUUCGUCAUGCCAAUGGUGCAGCAAGGUCAGCAACCACAACGCCCAUUUGGAAGGCGCGCAGGUGCUGGUGGAAUGCAGCAGCCAAUGCCAAUGGGUCAUCAGCAGAUGGUUCCAAGGGGCGGCCGUGGUGGCUACCGUUAUCCGUCUGGCCGUGGCAUGCCUGAUGCUGCAUUCCGUGGUGUUGGAGCUAUGGUGCCAUCGCUGUAUGAGAUGGGAAGGAUGACUCCUGGUGACACUGGAGCACCGCAGCAAGUUUCUAGUGGAGCAUUAGCAUCUGCACUUGCUAACUCUCCGCCGGAGCAGCAACGACUGAUGCUUGGUGAAAGCUUGUACCCACUUGUUGAUCAGCUGGAGCAUGACCAGGCUGCCAAGGUUACUGGUGCUGCUGGAAUUUUGGAAAACGAUUUGCUUGUGCCUGGUGAAGCGACGCUGGCAUCAGUCGCCGCUACUGUUGUUGCAGGCAGCUCUAGUGAGAAUGAGGGGAGUAAGAAGGUUAACAAGAAGAAUAAGAAGAAAGGCAAUCUCCGUGGAUUCAAGUUGAGGUUUAACUCAAAACGGCUGGGUCGGCUUGGGAAGCAGUUAUCACCAGAGAAACAGAGAAUUAUAAGGAAUGGCCCAUUUGGACACUUGUUGGACAUCUAG